Rosa chinensis is the source of this 1383-nucleotide long non-coding RNA. RefSeq lists it as uncharacterized. The transcript is spliced from 4 exons. Lineage: Eukaryota; Viridiplantae; Streptophyta; Magnoliopsida; Rosales; Rosaceae. The record is from RefSeq and is a predicted model, not a curated record.
UUUAAUAUCCUACUAAAAGCAUCAUGCCAAUUGAAAUUUCUGAAGUUGGAGAAGUUAUGAAAAUGAACCAUGCCAUAUUCUUCCUUCAAUUUCAUUUUUGCUGCAUCUCUUUGCAACUUAAGGACUAGCUGGUGAUAGCUCUAUGAGGAACAUCUCAUCUCUUUCUCCAUAAGGCUUUCGCAAUUGAAGAAAAUCCUUCCCUCCUGUAACAUGAGAUAGAUAGCGCACCUCACCCCACCUUCUCCAUUUCCUUUUUUACUUUUCUAACAAGUGCUUGAAUUGCUCCUUUAAAAAUUGCUGGUUUUUGUUAUUUUCCAAUCAAGUAGAUGCCCUAGUAGCUUUUUCAAAGAUUUGGCGUGAGGCAGCCAUUCCUUUUUUUUGUUUUUUUUAAUAUUACUUUAAGAAAAUAUAUCUAUAUAACACACACACACACACACACACACACACACACACACACACACAUAUAUGUAAAGAUGCAUCAAGGUUAAAGGGGUUAGUAGGCAUAAUUCCUGUUGAAUAUUUUGGUUUAACAAUUGAUUGCUCUGAGUGUAUUUAAGAGGACCAUGGACCUAUAAUUAGUAUCGAUAUAUCAGGUUCCAUUGCUUUUCUUUAGGAAAAAUUAAUUGAGACAUGAAGCUAAUGUAUAGUUAUAUAAAUAGAGAUUUGUACCUGCUUAUCCACUUAUACUUGUUAUUUGACUUAAUGAAAUUUGUUAGGUAUCUAUUGAUUGCGUUUGGUGGACUUGCUCAGUUGGAAGAGAGCAUUGAAGAGGAUCAUAACUUAAAGGCAAAGAAUGUGCGGGAGGUGUUUGACAUAUAGCAUGAGAGCUUGAAGGAAUAGCAUGAGCUUCUCCAGAAAGUAGUGAAGCCUUUGACGGGUCAUUUAGAGAUCUUAGUACCCAAUGGUGGCCUUAACACUCACCGUUCUUCAGCAAACUCGUCAAUCUACUCAGAAUGUGUGUUUAUGUAUUAUCAAGUGCAGCAAACACUAGUGAAACUUGCAGAUAUAUGGGUACAGAAUGGCACUGUGGGCAGAGCAUGUAGGACUUGUGGAAGAAUGUUUCAAUCAGCCAGAGUUUUGAAUGUGUUCAAAGGGUAAGGUCAUUGGGUGAGCAGAACUGGAGUCAAUACUAGAGCUUCUGCAGGGUCCUUGUCCAUCAUGUGUAGGAUCGAUGGCUUAAGAGAUCGAAAGACUGCUUAUCAUCUUUGCCUACAAGAGAGCUUCUGCAAGAACAAAUGAAGGUGCAUUAAAGGAAAGCAGCAGUAAUCUAUGUAGUUUAGGUCUUCCUAGCUAGAACAUUUUACAAGUACAGACAAUUUUCUAUGUUGUCCUAGCUUGAAUUAUAUGGAUUAUAGUACUGUUUCUAUGGUCAUAUAUUGAACA